GUCUCUUGCUCCAGCCAGAGCUCGAGGUUAGCUCUUCACUGCCCUGUGUCUUCUUUCCAAGGGUCUCGGUGAUUCGGCCACAGCCUCAGCCUCCAUCACGCGGUGAACUGAUGGUGCUGGAAGAUUCAUAGACUCCAGGACAUUCCUGAAGCCGAGAAAAGGUUAAGUAGGGUCUGGCCUGGAAUACUCUCCUAGAUGAAGAUAGCCCAACCAUGAGCCACCUUCGAAGCAGAUGAGAUGAAAUUAAAGCUCUUCAACUCCUAAAGGCCCAGAGACUAUCACAAAAGAGGUCAGAAAUCCUGAAGGUCACUUUCUGACAAACUCAGGAACCCCAGGUUUAUCUUGGAGCCUCAAGAGGAGAUAAAUUCACCCAACUCAGAAACCACCCCACUGGCAGGAGACGGCGGUAGCUGUGGUCAUUGAAAACAAGCUCCUGCUGAUAAAUCUCAGACACCAGACACAGAAGAACCUGGAGACCCUGCCAGAGAGCUUGAGGCAAAUGGAUGGACUGUUGGAGCAGCUGAGGGUGAAGCAGCACAAACUCCUCAAAGUUGAAUAGCAAAGCAGCCACCAGAGAUGGACAAGAAAAAUGAACAAAGAAAAUUAGCAGAAAUCAAAGGCAGAUGCUAAAGCAGUGCAAAAUCAUUCAUUCAAUGAUAGAAAUGAAAUUGAUGAAGGAGUCUGGAAAAUGAAUGACAGAAGAGAAUUAAACAGCAGUGACCAUAGUAAGGUCCUGACGAUUCUGGUCCACUGAAUCCCAUCAUCCCUAAGACAGUAAAUAUCAUCACAGUCACCACCAGCAAGUUACCACCACAGCAUUUCCUGUUUGUUCCAAAAUGAAUAAAGAUGAUUCUCAUCACAAGGGCAAAUACAAAGUAGUUUAGUAUGUUUUUAACUAAACUAAAGGUGUUUGGUUUACUUUUUCUAAGUUCUCAUAAUUCUGAAAAUGCAGUUGACACUUGUGUGGCUCAUGAUGUUUUUAAUAGUCUAAUGCUACUUGAAUUGUUCAAAAACCACUGUAUUUUAAAUUAAGAUGAAUAAACGGUCCUUUGAAAACUGGCACAAGGCAAGGAUGCCCUCUGUCACCACUCCUAUUCAACACAGUAUUGGAAGUUCUGGCCAGGGCAAUCAGGCAAGGGAAAGCAAUACAGCGUAUCAAAAUAGGAAGAGAGGAAGUCAAAUUGUCUCUGUUUGCAGAUGACAUGAUUGCAUAUUUAGAAAACCCCAUCUUCUCAGCCCAAAACCUCCUUAAGCUGAUAAGCAACUUCAGCAGUCUCAGAAUACAAAAUCAAUGUGCAAAAAAUCACAAGCAUUCCUAUACAUUAAUAACAGACAAACAGAGAGCCAAAUCAUGAGUGAACUCCCACUCACAAUUGCUAGUAAGAGAAUAAAAUACCUAGGAAAAUACAGCUUACAAGGGACAUGAAGGACCUCUUCAAGGAGAACUACAAACCACUGCUCAAGGAAAUGAGAAGAGACAAACAAAUGGGAAAGCAUUCCAUGCUCAUGGAUAGGAAGAAUCAAUAUCGUGAAAAUGGCCAUAGUGCCCAAAGUAAUUUUAUAGAUUCAAUGCUAUCCUCAUUAAGCUACCAUUGAUUUUCUUCACAGAAUUGGAAAAAACUACUUUAAACUUCAUAUGGAACCAAAAAAGAGCCUGCACAACCAAGACAAUACUGGGCAAGAAGAACAAAGCUGGAAACAUCAGGCUACCUGGCUUCAAACUAUACUACAAGGCUACAGGAACCAAAACAGCAUGGUACUGGUACCAAACAGAUAUGUAGACCAGUGGAACAGAACAGGGCCUCAGAAAUUGAUAUCACUCUGUCACCAUCAAAAAAUACUUAUUUAGUGUCAAAUCCUACUGUGAAAUAGCAGAACUGUGGGAUUUGUAAAGUGGAAAUGCAGAAUUCAAAACAGAGAUAUAUACCAAUGGAACAGAGCAGAGGCCUCAGAAAUACCACCACACGGCUACAACAAUCUGAUCUUUGACAAACCUGACACACACAAGCAAUGAGAAAAAGAUUCCCUAUUUAAUAAAUGGUGUUGGGAAAACUGGCUAGCCAUAUGUAGAAAAUUGAAACUGGACCCCUUUCUUACCCGUUUUACAAAAAUCAACUCAAGAUGUAUCAAAGACUUAAAUGUAAGACCUAAGACCAUAAAAAUCCUAGAAGAAAACCUGGGCAGUACCAUUCAGGACAUAGGCAUGGGCAAAGCCUUCAUGUCCAAAACACCAAAAGCAGUGGCAACAAAAGCCAAAAUUGACAAAUGGGAUCUAAUUAAAUUAAAUAGCUUCUGCACAGCAAAAGAAACUCAUCAGAGUGAACAGGCAACUACAGAAUGGGAGAAAAUUCUUGCAAUCUAUCCAUCUGACAAAAGGCUAAUAUCUAGAAUCUACAAAGAAUUUAAACAGUUUACAAGAAACAAACAAACUGCCCCAUCAAAAAAUGGGCAAAGAUAUGGACAGACACUUCUCAAAAGAAAACAUUUAUGCAGCCAACAGACACAUGAAAAAAUGCUCAUCACUGGUCAUUAGAGAAAUGCAAAUCAAAACCACAAUGAGAUACCAUGUCACACCCGUUAGAAUGGCAAUCAUUAAAAAGUCAGGAAACAACAGUGCUGGAGUGGAUAUGGAGAAAUAGGAACACUUUUACACUGUUGGGAGUGUAAAUUAGUUCAACCAUUGUGGAAAACAGUGUGGCAAUUCCUCAAGGAUCUAGAACUAGAAAUAACAUUUGACCAAUUCCAUUACUGAGUAUAUACCUAAAGGAUUAUAAAUCAUUCUAUGAUAAAGACACAUGCACACGUCUGUUUAUUGUGGCACUAUUCACAAUAGCAAAGACUUGAAACCAACCCAAAUGUCCAUCAAUGAUAGACUGGGUAAAGAAAAUGUGGCACAUAUACACUGUGGAAUACUGUGCAGGUGUAAAAAAGGAUGAGUUCAUGUCCUUUGCAGGGACAUGGAUGAAGCUGGAAACCAUCAUUCUCAGCAAACUAGCACAAGAUCAGAAAACCAAACGCUGCAUGUUCUCACUCAUAAGUGGGAGUUGAACAGUGAGAACACAUGGACACAGGGAGGUGAACAUCACACACUGGGGCCUGUCAGGUGCUGGGGGGCUAAGGGAGGGAUAACAGGAAAAAUACCUAAUGUAGGUGACGGGUUGAUGGUUGCAGCAAACCACCAUGGCACAU
Molecule: long non-coding RNA, 3189 nt
Filed under: Homo sapiens (human)
Lineage: Eukaryota; Metazoa; Chordata; Mammalia; Primates; Hominidae
Description: non-protein coding lnc-ZNF708-2:14
Source: RNAcentral